CGGGGGUAGAGCACUGUUUCGGCUAGGGGGCCAUCCCGGCUUACCAACCCGAUGCAAACUGCGAAUACCGGAGAAUGUUAUCACGGGAGACACACGGCGGGUGCUAACGUCCGUCGUGAAGAGGGAAACAACCCAGACCGCCAGCUAAGGUCCCAAAGUCAUGGUUAAGUGGGAAACGAUGUGGGAAGGCACAGACAGCCAGGAUGUUGGCUUAGAAGCAGCCAUCAUUUAAAGAAAGCGUAAUAGCUCACUGGUCGAGUCGGCCUGCGCGGAAGAUGUAACGGGGCUAAACCAUGCACCGAAGCUGCGGCAGCGACGUUUAUGCGUUGUUGGGUAGGGGAGCGUUCUGUAAGCCUGCGAAGGUGGCCUGUGAGGGUUGCUGGAGGUAUCAGAAGUGCGAAUGCUGACAUAAGUAACGAUAAAGCGGGUGAAAAGCCCGCUCGCCGGAAGACCAAGGGUUCCUGUCCAACGUUAAUCGGGGCAGGGUGAGUCGACCCCUAAGGCGAGGCCGAAAGGCGUAGUCGAUGGGAAACGGGUUAAUAUUCCCGUACUUGGUGUUACUGCGAAGGGGGGACGGAGAAGGCUAUGUUGGCCGGGCGACGGUU
Molecule: ribosomal RNA, 605 nt
Filed under: Salmonella enterica subsp. enterica serovar Bareilly
Lineage: Bacteria; Pseudomonadati; Pseudomonadota; Gammaproteobacteria; Enterobacterales; Enterobacteriaceae
Description: partial 23S ribosomal RNA
Rfam family: Bacterial large subunit ribosomal RNA
Source: RNAcentral